This 1172-nucleotide long non-coding RNA is filed under the name Mytilus galloprovincialis (Mediterranean mussel). The record is from RNAcentral. Lineage: Eukaryota; Metazoa; Mollusca; Bivalvia; Mytilida; Mytilidae.
CGGGAUUUACAGUUUUAUAAAAUUUGGGUCACAUAAUCUCCUUGCAAAAUGAAACAAAGUUUUAAAAAAAUAGGGGUCCAUGCACUCGUUUUCAAAUUAAAUCAGUUUGAAUGAUAAAAAUCAGUCGAAUAAUGCAUCUUUUCCCGAUAUGUCAUAGUUUGACAUCGCGAAAAUAAUAUUUUAUGUUAGCAACAUCAUUACCUUUCCUGUAACUGUAUCGUAUGCCCUUAAGCGUCUUUCAAAAUACUUGUAAAUAUUAGACUAAACAAAAACCUUACAUUCAUUCUACACACUAUGAUCAAUGUCAUACAAUUGAAUUCAAAUACAACUAAAUCAAAUGCCAAAGUUCUAAACUGAAGCACACUUGCAUUGCAUCAUUUAUUGUUUACUGAGCCCUCAUUGACAUUCUCAAAUUAUACCUUAAACUACAUAAUUCUAAUUAUAUAAUAGUAAAAAAUGUUAUUCAAACUCUGUAAUAAUAAAAGACCAUGAUUAUUUUUGUCUUUCAAAACUGCAUCGUAAUCCAUUUAAAACAUCAAUGGAAACCAUGGAAAUGGCACUUUGAAAACUAGAAUAAUAACCCAUAGAAGCAAUUUUUGACCUGUAGAACUUAUUCUUAUUCUUGUUGUGGCCUCUUUCAUCUCUUGCACGAAGCCAAAUUACAAAAAAAAAAACAAUUUGAUUAGGUUAUUCAGCAUCAUGAAACGAUAUUGUGACUUUAUCAUUGGCUAUUCAUUGGGUCAUUCAUGACUUAUAAUUGUCAAAUAGAAGUACAUUUCUUCAAUGGCAACAGAGAUAUGUUAUUUAUUUAAAAAAUAAACAAAACACACACGAUAUUCACAUAAAAAUCCUUUUUUGUCAAAUUUGUUUACAUUCUGAAGUUUUUGUAAAAUGUUUGAAAUGUUUAUGUCAGAACAGGACAUAUGACGUCAUCUUAUUAUGUGCAAAAGAUUGUACCAACAGGUCAAAGACUUUUCAAUUUGACACAAAGAGAACAUUUACCAUUAGAGAAAAAGGUUUAACAACUCAUUAAAUUGGAUAUUGCUUGCAAUUAACUCGUCUCUUGUAAUGUAAUUAAAAUAGUAAAAUAAACUCACUUGUUAUGAAAACUAUAAUUAUUUAAGACUAACCCAUAGUAAUGAUAGUUGCAAAUUCAUCUUUUCUUUCCAGGA